Molecule: ribosomal RNA, 467 nt
Filed under: uncultured bacterium
Lineage: Bacteria
Description: partial 16S ribosomal RNA
Rfam family: Bacterial small subunit ribosomal RNA
Source: RNAcentral
GACGAACGCUGGCGGCGUGCUUAACACAUGCAAGUCGAACGGAAAGGCCUCUUUCGGGGGGUACUCGAGUGGCGAACGGGUGAGUAACACGUGAGUAACCUGCCCUUGACUUUGGGAUAACUUCAGGAAACUGGGGCUAAUACCGGAUAGGAGCUCCUGCUGCAUGGUGGGGGUUGGAAAGUUUCGGCGGCUGGGGAUGGACUCGCGGCUUAUCAGCUUGUUGGUGGGGUAGUGGCUUACCAAGGCUUUGACGGGUAGCCGGCCUGAGAGGGUGACCGGCCACAUUGGGACUGAGAUACGGCCCAGACUCCUACGGGAGGCAGCAGUGGGGAAUAUUGCACAAUGGGUGGAAGCCUGAUGCAGCAACGCCGUGUGCGGGAUGACGGCCUUCGGGUUGGAAACCGCUUUCGCUCAUGACGAAGCUUUGUGUGACGGUAGUGGGUAAAGAAGCACCGGCUAACUACGUG